CCCUUAGAUGUUCUGGGCCGCACGCGCGCUACACUGAUGCAUUCAACGAGUUUUUCCUGGUCCGAGAGGAAUGGGUAACCUUUUGAAAGUGCAUCGUGCUAGGGAUAGACUAUUGCAAUUAUUGGUCUUCAACGAGGAAUUCCUAGUAGACGUAGUUCAUCAGACUGCAUCGAUUACGUCCCUGCCCUUUGUACACACCGCCCGUCGCUACUACUGAUUGGAUGUUUAAGCGAGGUUCUCGAACUGCUAGCGACUUAGCUUCGGUGAGGUCGCAGUGUGGGAAGUGAACCUAGCUUUGGUGUCUAGAGGAAGUAAAAGUCGUAACA
This 326-nucleotide ribosomal RNA is filed under the name uncultured eukaryote. RNAcentral describes it as "partial 18S ribosomal RNA". It matches the Rfam family "Eukaryotic small subunit ribosomal RNA", at positions 1470 to 1796 of the family's 1831-position model. The record is from RNAcentral.